Molecule: ribosomal RNA, 431 nt
Filed under: uncultured bacterium
Lineage: Bacteria
Description: partial 16S ribosomal RNA
Rfam family: Bacterial small subunit ribosomal RNA
Source: RNAcentral
AACGAACGCUGGCGGCAGGCCUAACACAUGCAAGUCGAGCGCCCCGCCAGGGGAGCGGCGGCCGGGUGAGUAACGCGUGGGAAUAUGCCCUUUGCUACGGAAUAGUCUCGGGAAACUGGGGGUAAUACCGUAUACGCCCUUUGGGGGAAAGAUUUAUCGGCGAAGGAUUAGCCCGCGUUGGAUUAGGUAGUUGGUGGGGUAAUGGCCUACCAAGCCGACGAUCCAUAGCUGGUUUGAGAGGAUGAUCAGCCACACUGGGACUGAGACACGGCCCAGACUCCUACGGGAGGCAGCAGUGGGGAAUCUUAGACAAUGGGGGCAACCCUGAUCGAGCCAUGCCGCGUGAGUGAUGAAGGCCUUAGGGUUGUAAAGCUCUUUCAGCUGGGAAGAUAAUGACGGUACCAGCAGAAGAAGCCCCGGCUAACUCCGUG